RNAcentral lists this long non-coding RNA (328 nucleotides) under Brachypodium distachyon (stiff brome). Its description in RNAcentral is "long non-coding RNA (BDIS_LNC001778)". The record is from RNAcentral. Lineage: Eukaryota; Viridiplantae; Streptophyta; Magnoliopsida; Poales; Poaceae.
UAGUACUCAAUAUCACUUCAGCAAUUGGCACACGACGAUGCGCAAUCAUCAGUAGAGUUCCUUGACAUUGACAAACAGUUAACAUUCCUUGACAUUGACAAACAGUUACCUUAGUAGUUUUAUCCAGCCUCCCUAAAGGCAGGGUAAGGCCUACUAUUAAAGUAAGGGAUUUCAGGCAUCAAGAGAAGCCUAUUUCCAUUUCCAGAAUUCUGCCCUGCUGAACCAAAUUAGCUCAACUUCCAAAGCAAACCAAUGUCAAAAGUUUAUCACGGAAGCUAGGGAAUUGACACAACCUCCUUUCUCUCCUCAAAACAGCAAAAAAGAAGAG